Molecule: ribosomal RNA, 451 nt
Filed under: uncultured bacterium
Lineage: Bacteria
Description: partial 16S ribosomal RNA
Rfam family: Bacterial small subunit ribosomal RNA
Source: RNAcentral
GUGGGGAAUAUUGGACAAUGGGGGGAACCCUGAUCCAGCCAUGCCGCGUGUGUGAAGAAGGCCUUUUGGUUGUAAAGCACUUUAAGCGAGGAGGAGGCUACCGAGAUUAAUACUCUUGGAUAGUGGACGUUACUCGCAGAAUAAGCACCGGCUAACUCUGUGCCAGCAGCCGCGGUAAUACAGAGGGUGCAAGCGUUAAUCGGAUUUACUGGGCGUAAAGCGCGCGUAGGUGGCCAAUUAAGUCAAAUGUGAAAUCCCCGAGCUUAACUGGGGAAUUGCAUUCGAUACUGGUUGGCUAGAGUAUGGGAGAGGAUGGUAGAAUUCCAGGUGUAGCGGUGAAAUGCGUAGAGAUCUGGAGGAAUACCGAUGGCGAAGGCAGCCAUCUGGCCUAAUACUGACACUGAGGUGCGAAAGCAUGGGGAGCAAACAGGAUUAGAUACCCGGGUAGUCC